This 2879-nucleotide ribosomal RNA is filed under the name Klebsiella aerogenes. RNAcentral describes it as "bacterial LSU rRNA". It matches the Rfam family "Bacterial large subunit ribosomal RNA". The record is from RNAcentral. Lineage: Bacteria; Pseudomonadati; Pseudomonadota; Gammaproteobacteria; Enterobacterales; Enterobacteriaceae.
GGGUUGUGAGGUUAAGCGACUAAGCGUACACGGUGGAUGCCCUGGCAGUCAGAGGCGAUGAAGGACGUGCUAAUCUGCGAAAAGCGUCGGUAAGGUGAUAUGAACCGUUACAGCCGGCGAUGUCCGAAUGGGGAAACCCAGUGUGAUUCGUCACACUAUCGUUAACUGAAUACAUAGGUUAACGAGGCGAACCGGGGGAACUGAAACAUCUAAGUACCCCGAGGAAAAGAAAUCAACCGAGAUUCCCCCAGUAGCGGCGAGCGAACGGGGAGCAGCCCAGAGUCUGAAUCAGCUUGUGUGUUAGUGGAACGGUCUGGAAAGUCCGACGGUACAGGGUGAUAGUCCCGUACACCAAAAUGCACAGGUUGUGAACUCGAAGAGUAGGGCGGGACACGUGGUAUCCUGUCUGAAUAUGGGGGGACCAUCCUCCAAGGCUAAAUACUCCUGACUGACCGAUAGUGAACCAGUACCGUGAGGGAAAGGCGAAAAGAACCCCGGCGAGGGGAGUGAAAAAGAACCUGAAACCGUGUACGUACAAGCAGUGGGAGCACCUUCGGGUGUGACUGCGUACCUUUUGUAUAAUGGGUCAGCGACUUAUAUUCUGUAGCAAGGUUAACCGUAUAGGGGAGCCGCAGGGAAACCGAGUCUUAACUGGGCGUUAAGUUGCAGGGUAUAGACCCGAAACCCGGUGAUCUAGCCAUGGGCAGGUUGAAGGUUGGGUAACACUAACUGGAGGACCGAACCGACUAAUGUUGAAAAAUUAGCGGAUGACUUGUGGCUGGGGGUGAAAGGCCAAUCAAACCGGGAGAUAGCUGGUUCUCCCCGAAAGCUAUUUAGGUAGCGCCUCGUGAACUCAUCUUCGGGGGUAGAGCACUGUUUCGGCUAGGGGGUCAUCCCGACUUACCAACCCGAUGCAAACUACGAAUACCGAAGAAUGUUAUCACGGGAGACACACGGCGGGUGCUAACGUCCGUCGUGAAGAGGGAAACAACCCAGACCGCCAGCUAAGGUCCCAAAGUCACAGUUAAGUGGGAAACGAUGUGGGAAGGCACAGACAGCCAGGAUGUUGGCUUAGAAGCAGCCAUCAUUUAAAGAAAGCGUAAUAGCUCACUGGUCGAGUCGGCCUGCGCGGAAGAUGUAACGGGGCUAAACUGUGCACCGAAGCUGCGGCAGCGACACUAUGUGUUGUUGGGUAGGGGAGCGUUCUGUAAGCCUGCGAAGGUGGCCUGUGAGGGUUGCUGGAGGUAUCAGAAGUGCGAAUGCUGACAUAAGUAACGAUAAUGCGGGUGAAAAGCCCGCACGCCGGAAGACCAAGGGUUCCUGUCCAACGUUAAUCGGGGCAGGGUGAGUCGACCCCUAAGGCGAGGCCGAAAGGCGUAGUCGAUGGGAAACAGGUUAAUAUUCCUGUACUUGGUGUUACUGCGAAGGGGGGACGGAGAAGGCUAUGUUAGCCGGGCGACGGUUGUCCCGGUUUAAGCAUGUAGGCGGAGGUUCCAGGUAAAUCCGGUACCUUUUAACGCUGAGGUGUGAUGACGAGGCACUACGGUGCUGAAGUAACAAAUGCCCUGCUUCCAGGAAAAGCCUCUAAGCAUCAGGUAACAUUAAAUCGUACCCCAAACCGACACAGGUGGUCAGGUAGAGAAUACCAAGGCGCUUGAGAGAACUCGGGUGAAGGAACUAGGCAAAAUGGUGCCGUAACUUCGGGAGAAGGCACGCUGAUAUGUAGGUGAAGCCCCUGCGGGUGGAGCUGAAAUCAGUCGAAGAUACCAGCUGGCUGCAACUGUUUAUUAAAAACACAGCACUGUGCAAACACGAAAGUGGACGUAUACGGUGUGACGCCUGCCCGGUGCCGGAAGGUUAAUUGAUGGGGUUAUCCGUAAGGAGAAGCUCUUGAUCGAAGCCCCGGUAAACGGCGGCCGUAACUAUAACGGUCCUAAGGUAGCGAAAUUCCUUGUCGGGUAAGUUCCGACCUGCACGAAUGGCGUAAUGAUGGCCAGGCUGUCUCCACCCGAGACUCAGUGAAAUUGAACUCGCUGUGAAGAUGCAGUGUACCCGCGGCAAGACGGAAAGACCCCGUGAACCUUUACUAUAGCUUGACACUGAACAUUGAGCCUUGAUGUGUAGGAUAGGUGGGAGGCUUUGAAGCGUGGACGCCAGUCUGCGUGGAGCCAACCUUGAAAUACCACCCUUUAAUGUUUGAUGUUCUAACGUUGGCCCCUUAUCGGGGUUGCGGACAGUGUCUGGUGGGUAGUUUGACUGGGGCGGUCUCCUCCCAAAGAGUAACGGAGGAGCACGAAGGUUAGCUAAUCCUGGUCGGACAUCAGGAGGUUAGUGCAAUGGCAUAAGCUAGCUUGACUGCGAGCGUGACGGCGCGAGCAGGUGCGAAAGCAGGUCAUAGUGAUCCGGUGGUUCUGAAUGGAAGGGCCAUCGCUCAACGGAUAAAAGGUACUCCGGGGAUAACAGGCUGAUACCGCCCAAGAGUUCAUAUCGACGGCGGUGUUUGGCACCUCGAUGUCGGCUCAUCACAUCCUGGGGCUGAAGUAGGUCCCAAGGGUAUGGCUGUUCGCCAUUUAAAGUGGUACGCGAGCUGGGUUUAGAACGUCGUGAGACAGUUCGGUCCCUAUCUGCCGUGGGCGCUGGAGAAUUGAGGGGGGCUGCUCCUAGUACGAGAGGACCGGAGUGGACGCAUCACUGGUGUUCGGGUUGUCAUGCCAAUGGCAUUGCCCGGUAGCUAAAUGCGGAAGAGAUAAGUGCUGAAAGCAUCUAAGCACGAAACUUGCCCCGAGAUGAGUUCUCCCUGAGACUUUAAGUCUCCUGAAGGAACGUUAAAGACGAUGACGUUGAUAGGUCGGGUGUGUAAGCGUAGCGAUACGUUGAGC